Molecule: ribosomal RNA, 492 nt
Filed under: uncultured bacterium
Lineage: Bacteria
Description: partial 16S ribosomal RNA
Rfam family: Bacterial small subunit ribosomal RNA
Source: RNAcentral
AGUGAACGCUGGCGGUAGGCCUAACACAUGCAAGUCGAACGGCAGCACAGUAAGAGCUUGCUCUUACGGGUGGCGAGUCGCGGACGUGUGAGGAAUGCAUCGUAAUCUACAUUUUCGUGGAGGAUAACGUAGGGAAAGUUACGCUAAUACCGCAUACGCCCUACGAGUGAAAGCAGGGGAUAUUCUGACCUUGUGCGAAUGAAUUAGCCGAUGUCGGAUUAGCUAGUUGGCGGGGUAAAGGCCCACCAAGGCGACGAUCCGUAGCUGGUCUGAGAGGAUGAUCAGCCACACUGGAACUGAGACACGGUCCAGACUCCUACGGGAGGCAGCAGUGGGGAAUAUUGGACAAUGGGCGCAAGCCUGAUCCAGCCAUACCGCGUGGGUGAAGAAGGCCUUCGGGUUGUAAAGCCCUUUUGUUGGGAAAGAAAAGCAGCAGGUUAAUACCCCGCUGUUCUGACGGUACCCAAAGAAUAAGCACCGGCUAACUUCGUG